CGUAGCGGCAGGCUUAACACAUGCAAGUCGAGGGGCAGGCACGGGUAGCAAUACCUGGUGGCGACCGGCGCAAGGGUGCGUAACGCGUGAGCAACAUGCCCUAUACAGGGGGAUAAUCCAGGGAAACUUGGUCUAAUAUCCCAUAGUAUUUAGAGGAGGCAUCUUCUAUAAAUUAAAGCUUCGGUGGUAUAGGAUUGGCUCGCGUGACAUUAGCUAGAUGGUGAGGUAACGGCUCACCAUGGCAAUGAUGUCUAGGGGUUCUGAGAGGAAGGCCCCCCACACUGGGACUGAGACACGGCCCAGACUCCUACGGGAGGCAGCAGUGAGGAAUAUUGGACAAUGGAUGGAAAUCUGAUCCAGCCAUGCCGCGUGCAGGAAGACAGCCCUAUGGGUUGUAAACUGCUUUUAUAUGGGAGCAAUAAGGUCUACGUGUAGACUGAUGAGAGUACCAUAUGAAUAAGCAUCGGCUAACUCCGUG
RNAcentral lists this ribosomal RNA (478 nucleotides) under uncultured bacterium. RNAcentral's name for it is "bacterial SSU rRNA". It matches the Rfam family "Bacterial small subunit ribosomal RNA", at positions 37 to 507 of the family's 1533-position model. The record is from RNAcentral.